AUUGAACGCUGGCGGCAGGCCUAACACAUGCAAGUCGAGCGGAUGAAGGGAGCUUGCUCCUGGAUUCAGCGGCGGACGGGUGAGUAAUGCCUAGGAAUCUGCCUGGUAGUGGGGGAUAACGUCCGGAAACGGGCGCUAAUACCGCAUACGUCCUGAGGGAGAAAGUGGGGGAUCUUCGGACCUCACGCUAUCAGAUGAGCCUAGGUCGGAUUAGCUAGUUGGUGGGGUAAAGGCCUACCAGGGCGACGAUCCGUAACUGGUCUGAGAGGAUGAUCAGUCACACUGGAGCUGAGACACGGUCCAGACUCCUACGGGAGGCAGCAGUGGGGAAUAUUGGACAAUGGGCGAAAGCCUGAUCCAGCCAUGCCGCGUGUGUGAAGAAGGUCUUCGGAUUGUAAAGCACUUUAAGUUGGGAGGAAGGGCAGUAAGUUAAUACCUUGCUGUUUUGACGUUACCAACAGAAUAAGCACCGGCUAACUUCGUG
RNAcentral lists this ribosomal RNA (484 nucleotides) under uncultured bacterium. RNAcentral describes it as "partial 16S ribosomal RNA". It matches the Rfam family "Bacterial small subunit ribosomal RNA", at positions 30 to 507 of the family's 1533-position model. The record is from RNAcentral.